RNAcentral lists this ribosomal RNA (397 nucleotides) under uncultured bacterium. Its description in RNAcentral is "partial 16S ribosomal RNA". It matches the Rfam family "Bacterial small subunit ribosomal RNA", at positions 523 to 918 of the family's 1533-position model. The record is from RNAcentral.
AUACGUAGGUGGCAAGCGUUGUCCGGAUUUAUUGGGCGUAAAGCGAGCGCAGGCGGUCUCUUAAGUCUGAUGUGAAAGCCCCCGGCUCAACCGGGGAGGGUCAUUGGAAACUGGGAGACUUGAGUGCAGAAGAGGAGAGUGGAAUUCCAUGUGUAGCGGUGAAAUGCGUAGAUAUAUGGAGGAACACCAGUGGCGAAGGCGGCUCUCUGGUCUGUAACUGACGCUGAGGCUCGAAAGCGUGGGGAGCAAACAGGAUUAGAUACCCUGGUAGUCCACGCCGUAAACGAUGAGUGCUAAGUGUUGGAGGGUUUCCGCCCUUCAGUGCUGCAGCUAACGCAUUAAGCACUCCGCCUGGGGAGUACGGCCGCAAGGCUGAAACUCAAAUGAAUUGACGGGG